CCUGUUCCCCAUCCCGGCGUCUAAGAGAGGAAGGGGCCCGGGCGUUUAAGCCGUCUUGCUCACCACUCCCUCUGCUGGGCGGUUGGCUCCAUAGCAUCGGCCAGGCAUCUUCUGGGCUCUGGACCUCCCGAACCAGGGAGGCUGGGCUAGACGACCUCUAAGAGCCUUUCUAUGAUCCUGUGAUUCUCCCCACACCCAAUUUACACAUGAAGAAAUUGUAGAAGAAAUUGGAGGCGCAGAAUGGCGGUGACUUGCUGGAAGAAGCCACAGAGACAGUUCAGCAGAUUUGGGACCCUGAUUGAAAAUCUUGGAUUCUUUAUUCCAUAACAUGCUGCCUACCCUUUGGGGGGCGGGGCAAGGGGAGGGACCCUCUUAGUCACUACCUCUGUCUCUCCCAGCCUCCCUCCCCUAUCUCAAGCCACUCAAUAAAUGUUUGCUACUUGAA
Monodelphis domestica (gray short-tailed opossum) is the source of this 445-nucleotide long non-coding RNA. RefSeq lists it as uncharacterized. The record is from RefSeq and is a predicted model, not a curated record. Lineage: Eukaryota; Metazoa; Chordata; Mammalia; Didelphimorphia; Didelphidae.